This 299-nucleotide signal recognition particle RNA is filed under the name Microcebus murinus (gray mouse lemur). RNAcentral describes it as "Metazoan signal recognition particle RNA (ENSMICG00000044793.1)". It matches the Rfam family "Metazoan signal recognition particle RNA". From Rfam's summary of the family: The signal recognition particle (SRP) is a universally conserved ribonucleoprotein. It is involved in the co-translational targeting of proteins to membranes. Lineage: Eukaryota; Metazoa; Chordata; Mammalia; Primates; Cheirogaleidae. The record is from RNAcentral.
GCCGGACGCAGUGGCGCGCGCCUGUAGUCCCAGCUACUCGGGAGGCUGAGACGGGAGGAUCGCUUGAGCCCAGGAGUUCUGGGUUGUAGUGCGCUAUGCCGAUCGGGUGUCCGCACUAAGUUCGGCAUCAAUAUGGUGACCUCCCCGGAGCGGGGGACCACCAGGUUGCCUAAGGAGGGGUGAACCGGCCCAGGUCGGAAACGGAGCAGGUCAAAACUCCCGUGCUGAUCAGUAGUGGGAUCGCGCCUGUGAAUAACCACUGCACUCCAGCCUGGGCAACAUAGCGAGACCCCGUCUCU